UUGUCAUUUUUGGCUAAAGGCAGUAAACUGUAAAGUAAUUAAUAAAUUUACCAGCAGAUAACGAUAACGUUUUUACUGUCGCAAAGGUUACCAUGCAAGAAAGUGCAAUUGGUAGGUAAAUUGGAUAACAGAUAAAGAUCUAAAUAAGUCAAAUGCGGAUCCAACUUAAUAUGGUGGAAUGGUGGUUCUAUGCAAGUCUGAUUUAUUUUUAAUCACUGUAUCUACCUACCUAUAGUAAAAAAACCACUUAAGAGAUGUACAAAGGCUGGUGAUGAAGUGGUUUUGCUUGGUGAUUUAGGAUAUGCUCCAUGCGCCUGCCUAAUGACACCAGUGAGUGGUACCGAAGAUAAUUCCCCAGAAGCACUCAUAUUCUGCAAACUAUAAAUCAAACAUUUUACAUCUCCAUGUAUGUACCUAAAAGAAUAAUAAGUGUGGAUAUGUACAAACUUUCAUUAAAAUUUUUGUUUUAUCUUAAUUAUUUUGAAUAAUAAAA
Molecule: long non-coding RNA, 493 nt
Organism: Ostrinia nubilalis (European corn borer)
Lineage: Eukaryota; Metazoa; Arthropoda; Insecta; Lepidoptera; Crambidae
Exons: 3
Source: RefSeq, a predicted model, not a curated record